CUGGGAGAAGAGGGGGAACACAACAGACCCCUUCACGUUCAUAUCGCUCAUGGGGGUGAAGCAAGGACAGAAAUCCACAGUUUAACACUCUCCCUGUUAGGUCAGGAGAGGCCACUUUGGGAGACCCAUGCCAGGAGCUUGUUUGCAAGUUAAACAGAUUCUAAUGUCCAGGGCUGGGUGUAAGCACUGCUAAGAACACAGUCACUAAGCUGCCAGCUUUGGGUCGCCUUUGGUGAUCUAAAUGGCCACCCCUGACCCUCUAAAACCCCUGAGAUUCCAGAGAGUGAGCAGGCUUUAUGUACUUAUCCAUUCCCAUCACAACAACAGCCAACUGAUUCCAGAGUUACAGGCUCAAGGGAUGACACAGACAGAACUAAUCCUAAUUUGGGGCCUGAAGAUCCACAGCAGAACGAUCCAACUUUGUUCUUACACUAUUAAUUAACACCACGCUCUAGUUUCCAACAUACUUAAAUGAUGAAUAAGGUUAAAUUCCAGACAACGUUCUGUAC
This is a long non-coding RNA of Manacus vitellinus (golden-collared manakin), 509 nucleotides long. RefSeq lists it as uncharacterized. NCBI's taxonomy places the organism in Eukaryota, Metazoa, Chordata, Aves, Passeriformes, Pipridae. The transcript is spliced from 4 exons. The record is from RefSeq and is a predicted model, not a curated record.